Molecule: ribosomal RNA, 773 nt
Filed under: uncultured Neocallimastigales
Lineage: Eukaryota; Fungi; Neocallimastigomycota; Neocallimastigomycetes; Neocallimastigales
Description: partial large subunit ribosomal RNA
Rfam family: Eukaryotic large subunit ribosomal RNA
Source: RNAcentral
UAUCAGUCAUGCAUAGCAUAUCAAUAAGCGGAGGAAAAGAAACUAACAAGGAUUCCCCUAGUAACGGCGAGUGAAGCGGGAAGAGCUCAAAUUUGAAAUCUUAAAGGGUUUCCCUUUACGAAUUGUAGUUUAAAGAAGUGUUUUCUGUUAGAGUUUCGGUAAAAGUUCUUUGGAAUAGGACAUCAUAGAGGGUGAGAAUCCCGUAUUUGACCGUUAUUUCUAGCUUUGUGAUACACUUUCAAAGAGUCGGAUUGUUUGGGAAUGCAGUCCAAAAUGGGUGGUAAAUUUCAUCUAAAGCUAAAUAUUGGCGAGAGACCGAUAGCGAACAAGUACCGUGAGGGAAAGAUGAAAAGAACUUUGAAAAGAGAGUUAAACAGUACGUGAAAUUGUCAAAAGGGAAGCGUUUGACACCAGUGUUGUUUAAUUGAAAAUCAAUUAACUAAUUUUUGAUUUUAAAUAGUAUUGACUUUAUCAGCUUGCUAUUUUCUUUUCGGAAAUUAUUUAAUGCACUUUUCAGUUAACAAGUCAACAUCAAUUUCUUUUGUUGUAAAAAGGUAAGAGGAAGGUGGCUUAUGCUUCGGUAUAAGUGUUUAUAGCCUUUUACCUCCGCAAUCGGAGAGAUUGAGGUCUGCAGCGUAGAUCCUUCGGGGUUAGAUACAUUUGUGCUAAGUUAUAGUAUUUUAUAGACAACUUGUUGACUAUGAUUUAUCAUGUAGCUUACUCGUUAUGCCUAUUUUACCUACGCUUAGGAUGUUGAAGAUGUAGCACAUCAU